This 468-nucleotide ribosomal RNA is filed under the name uncultured bacterium. RNAcentral describes it as "partial 16S ribosomal RNA". It matches the Rfam family "Bacterial small subunit ribosomal RNA", at positions 28 to 507 of the family's 1533-position model. The record is from RNAcentral.
GACGAACGCUGGCGGCGUGCUUAACACAUGCAAGUCGAACGGAAAGGCCCUGCUUUUGUGGGGUGCUCGAGUGGCGAACGGGUGAGUAACACGUGAGUAACCUGCCCUUGACUUUGUGAUAACUUCAGGAAACUGGGGCUAAUACCGGAUAUGAGCUCCUGCUGCAUGGUGGGGGUUGGAAAGUUUCGGCGGUUGGGGAUGGACUCGCGGCUUAUCAGCUUGUUGGUGGGGUAGUGGCUUACCAAGGCUUUGACGGGUAGCCGGCCUGAGAGGGUGACCGGCCACAUUGGGACUGAGAUACGGCCCAGACUCCUACGGGAGGCAGCAGUGGGGAAUAUUGCACAAUGGGCGGAAGCCUGAUGCAGCAACGCCGCGUGCGGGAUGACGGCCUUCGGGUUGUAAACCGCUUUCGCCUGUGACGAAGCGUGAGUGACGGUAAUGGGUAAAGAAGCACCGGCUAACUACGUG